UGCCAGCCGCCGCGGUAAUACGAAGGUGGCAAGCGUUGUUCGGAAUCACUGGGCAUAAAGCGCGCGUAGGCGGCUAAGUCAGUCGGAUGUGAAAUCCCUCAGCUCAACUGAGGAACUGCGUCCGAUACUGCUUGGCUUGAGGCCUGGAGGGGAGAGUGGAAUUCCUGGUGGAGCGGUGAAAUGCGUAGAGAUCAGGAGGAACGCCGGCGGCGAAAGCGACUCUCUGGACAGGUUCUGACGCUGAGGCGCGAAAGCUAGGGGAGCAAACGGGAUUAGAUA
Molecule: ribosomal RNA, 279 nt
Filed under: uncultured bacterium
Lineage: Bacteria
Description: partial 16S ribosomal RNA
Rfam family: Bacterial small subunit ribosomal RNA
Source: RNAcentral